AAUAACUUCAUACGUUUUCCUUAUAUAAUCAUGGAGAUAUGGUCCAUAAGUUUCUACCUGGCAGCCUUAAAGUGCCGGACUAUAGGGAAAGUAAGAACGGAU
The sequence is a regulatory RNA element, 102 nucleotides long. It matches the Rfam family "Purine riboswitch aptamer". Rfam says of the family: Riboswitches are metabolite binding domains within certain messenger RNAs that serve as precision sensors for their corresponding targets. Allosteric rearrangement of mRNA structure is mediated by ligand binding, and this results in modulation of gene expression. A class of riboswitches that selectively recognises guanine and becomes saturated at concentrations as low as 5 nM. The record is from Rfam.